This 93-nucleotide microRNA precursor is filed under the name Triticum aestivum (bread wheat). RNAcentral describes it as "miR1120b stem-loop (tae-MIR1120b)". It matches the Rfam family "MIR1120/MIR1122 microRNA precursor family". Lineage: Eukaryota; Viridiplantae; Streptophyta; Magnoliopsida; Poales; Poaceae. The record is from miRBase by way of RNAcentral.
UAAAUACUCCCUCUGUCCCAAAAUAUAAGAACAUUUUUGACACUAUUGUAAUGUUAAAAAUGUUCUUAUAUUGUGGGACAGAGGGAGUAGUUU